GAUGAACGCUGGCGGCGUGCCUGACACAUGCAAGUCGAACGAAGCACCUUACCUGAUUCUUCGGAUGAAAGUUUGGUGACUGAGUGGCGGACGGGUGAGUAACGCGUGGGUAACCUGCCCUGUACAGGGGGAUAACAGCUGGAAACGGCUGCUAAUACCGCAUAAGCGCACGAGGAGACAUCUCCUUGUGUGAAAAACUCCGGUGGUACAGGAUGGGCCCGCGUCUGAUUAGCUGGUUGGCAGGGUAACGGCCUACCAAGGCAACGAUCAGUAGCCGGUCUGAGAGGAUGAACGGCCACAUUGGAACUGAGACACGGUCCAAACUCCUACGGGAGGCAGCAGUGGGGAAUAUUGCACAAUGGGGGAAACCCUGAUGCAGCAACGCCGCGUGAGUGAAGAAGUAUUUCGGUAUGUAAAGCUCUAUCAGCAGGGAAGAUAAUGACGGUACCUGACUAAGAAGCUCCGGCUAAAUACGUG
This 477-nucleotide ribosomal RNA is filed under the name uncultured bacterium. Its description in RNAcentral is "partial 16S ribosomal RNA". It matches the Rfam family "Bacterial small subunit ribosomal RNA", at positions 28 to 507 of the family's 1533-position model. The record is from RNAcentral.